Molecule: long non-coding RNA, 767 nt
Organism: Lolium rigidum
Lineage: Eukaryota; Viridiplantae; Streptophyta; Magnoliopsida; Poales; Poaceae
Exons: 2
Source: RefSeq, a predicted model, not a curated record
UAUUAUAGUUAGGACUUAUAAGUCGUUGGAUAUGCAAAUUAUAAACAUCGAUUUUCCUGACGUCCUCUGUUCUCAUGUUAAUGAGAGUUGUAUUUUGGAUAAUUUUCAGGUAAUAAAUGUGUGGGAGCACAAGAGAAAAUUUUGCAUUCCCAUCCUGCUUGCGAAUAUCAUACUGUGCUCAUCAGUAUUUGUGAAGGGGCAAAUUACUCGGUGGUUCCACAGAGCCAAGUCACAGGAUCUCAGUAUUGACCGAGUAAGAGCGUUCAGGAUGUUUCAAGCCCGCAGACACUAAUAAGGCAAGAUAAUGCCUUAUUAGUAUGCCGGAUCCCAGCAUGGAGUUCACGGCUGGCUGUCACCAACUCUGACCCUGCAGUUCAGAAACGGGAUCCUCACAAUGUGGAGACUUUGGAAGACGCGCAACGAUGCCAUCUUCAAAAACUUGCCCCACACAGACAUGACCUGGUUCAAUCUAUCCUUGAAGAAGCCAAACCGUGGAUGAUCACCGGUGCUAGGGCGUUACGCUGGCUUCCCCUGGAUGCUAUGCCCCCUGAUGACCCACCGGGACAGAAUCUUCAGGACUAACAAAGUUGGCUUUGUACAGUUUUUUUUCCCUUGCUUUCUCUGAAUUUUUUUCCUCUUCUUGAUGGUUUUUCUCUAAUACACAAUGAGUUCGAGAAAAAAGUAAGGCAAGAUAAUACCGACACUUCUAUUUUGCAUUGUAAAUAUCGUUUAGUGGACUAUAAGUGGUGAGGACUUAUUCUUUGGCA